RNAcentral lists this ribosomal RNA (460 nucleotides) under uncultured bacterium. RNAcentral's name for it is "partial 16S ribosomal RNA". It matches the Rfam family "Bacterial small subunit ribosomal RNA", at positions 338 to 795 of the family's 1533-position model. The record is from RNAcentral.
CCUACGGGUGGCAGCAGUGAGGAAUAUUGGUCAAUGGACGAGAGUCUGAACCAGCCAAGUAGCGUGAAGGAUGACUGCCCUAUGGGUUGUAAACUUCUUUUAUAUGGGAAUAAAAUGUUCCACGUGUGGGAUUUUGUAUGUACCAUAUGAAUAAGGAUCGGCUAACUCCGUGCCAGCAGCCGCGGUAAUACGGAGGAUCCGAGCGUUAUCCGGAUUUAUUGGGUUUAAAGGGAGCGUAGGUGGAUUGUUAAGUCAGUUGUGAAAGUUUGCGGCUCAACCGUAAAAUUGCAGUUGAAACUGGCAGUCUUGAGUACAGUAGAGGUGGGCGGAAUUCGUGGUGUAGCGGUGAAAUGCUUAGAUAUCACGAAGAACUCCGAUUGCGAAGGCAGUUCACUAAACUGCCACUGACACUGAGGCUCGAAAGUGUGGGUAUCAAACAGGAUUAGAUACCCGUGUAGUC